This 433-nucleotide ribosomal RNA is filed under the name uncultured bacterium. Its description in RNAcentral is "partial 16S ribosomal RNA". It matches the Rfam family "Bacterial small subunit ribosomal RNA", at positions 29 to 507 of the family's 1533-position model. The record is from RNAcentral.
AACGAACGCUGGCGGCAUGCCUAACACAUGCAAGUCGAACGAGACCUUCGGGUCUAGUGGCGCACGGGUGCGUAACGCGUGGGAACCUGCCCUUAGGUUCGGAAUAACUCCCCGAAAGGGGUGCUAAUACCGGAUAAUGUCUUCGGACCAAAGAUUUAUCGCCUUUGGAUGGGCCCGCGUUGGAUUAGCUAGUUGGUAGGGUAAAAGCCUACCAAGGCGACGAUCCAUAGCUGGUCUGAGAGGAUGAUCAGCCACACUGGGACUGAGACACGGCCCAGACUCCUACGGGAAGCAGCAGUGGUGAAUAUUGGACCAUGGGCGUGAGCCUGAUCCAGCAAUGCCGCGUGAGUGAUGAAGGCCUUAGGGUUGUAAAGCUCUUUUACCCGGGAUGAUAAUGACGGUACCGGGAGAAUAAGCUCCGGCUAACUCCGUG